Molecule: ribosomal RNA, 1385 nt
Filed under: uncultured Gammaproteobacteria bacterium
Lineage: Bacteria; Pseudomonadati; Pseudomonadota; Gammaproteobacteria
Description: partial 16S ribosomal RNA
Rfam family: Bacterial small subunit ribosomal RNA
Source: RNAcentral
UCAGAACGAACGCUGGCGGCAGGCCUAACACAUGCAAGUCGAGCGCAGCUUCGGGACCGAGCGGCGGACGGGUUAGUAACGCGUGGGAACAUACCCUUUUCUACGGAAUAGCCUCGGGAAACUGAGAGUAAUACCGUAUAAGCCCUUCGGGGGAAAGAUUUAUCGGGAAAGGAUUGGCCCGCGUUAGAUUAGAUAGUUGGUGGGGUAAUGGCCUACCAAGUCUACGAUCUAUAGCUGGUUUUAGAGGAUGAUCAGCAACACUGGGACUGAGACACGGCCCAGACUCCUACGGGAGGCAGCAGUGGGGAAUCUUAGACAAUGGGCGCAAGCCUGAUCUAGCCAUGCCGCGUGUGUGAUGAAGGUCUUAGGAUCGUAAAGCACUUUCGCCAGGGAUGAUAAUGACAGUACCUGGUAAAGAAACCCCGGCUAACUCCGUGCCAGCAGCCGCGGUAAUACGGAGGGGGUUAGCGUUGUUCGGAAUUACUGGGCGUAAAGCGUACGUAGGCGGAUCAGAAAGUAGGGGGUGAAAUCCCAGGGCUCAACCCUGGAACUGCCUCCUAAACUCCUGGUCUUGAGUUCGAGAGAGGUGAGUGGAAUUCCAAGUGUAGAGGUGAAAUUCGUAGAUAUUUGGAGGAACACCAGUGGCGAAGGCGGCUCACUGGCUCGAUACUGACGCUGAGGUACGAAAGUGUGGGGAGCAAACAGGAUUAGAUACCCUGGUAGUCCACGCCGUAAACGAUGUCUACUUGGAGGUGUGGCCUUGAGCCGUGGCUUUCGGAGCUAACGCGUUAAGUAGACCGCCUGGGGAGUACGGUCGCAAGAUUAAAACUCAAUGAAUUGACGGGGGCCCGCACAAGCGGUGGAGCAUGUGGUUUAAUUCGAUGCAACGCGAAGAACCUUACCUACUCUUGACAUCCAGAGAAGCCAGCGGAGACGCAGGUGUGCCUUCGGGAACUCUGAGACAGGUGCUGCAUGGCUGUCGUCAGCUCGUGUUGUGAAAUGUUGGGUUAAGUCCCGCAACGAGCGCAACCCUUAUCCUUGUUUGCCAGCGAGUAAGUCGGGAACUCCAGGGAGACUGCCGGUGAUAAACCGGAGGAAGGUGGGGACGACGUCAAGUCAUCAUGGCCCUUACGAGUAGGGCUACACACGUGCUACAAUGGCCAAAAGAGCAUGGAAUCCCAAAAAGUGGUCGUAGUCCGGAUUGGAGUCUGCAACUCGACUCCAUGAAGUCGGAAUCGCUAGUAAUCGUGAAUCAGAUGUCACGGUGAAUACGUUCCCGGGCCUUGUACACACCGCCCGUCACACCAUGGGAGUGGGCUGCAAAAGAAGUGGGUAGUUUAACCUUCGGGAGGACGCUCACCACUUUGUGGUUCAUGACUGGAGUG